UACGUAGGGUGCGAGCGUUGUCCGGAUUUAUUGGGCGUAAAGAGCUCGUAGGCGGUCUGUCACGUCGAUUGUGAAAACUCGGGGCUCAACCCCGGGCCUGCAGUCGAUACGGGCAGACUAGAGUGUGGUAGGGGAGACUGGAAUUCCUGGUGUAGCGGUGAAAUGCGCAGAUAUCAGGAGGAACACCGGUGGCGAAGGCGGGUCUCUGGGCCACAACUGACGCUGAGAAGCGAAAGCGUGGGGAGCGAACAGG
Molecule: ribosomal RNA, 253 nt
Filed under: uncultured bacterium
Lineage: Bacteria
Description: partial 16S ribosomal RNA
Rfam family: Bacterial small subunit ribosomal RNA
Source: RNAcentral